Alnus glutinosa is the source of this 2381-nucleotide RNA transcript. It is a transcript of the gene named probable plastidic glucose transporter 3, with no coding region annotated. The transcript is spliced from 16 exons. The record is from RefSeq and is a predicted model, not a curated record. Lineage: Eukaryota; Viridiplantae; Streptophyta; Magnoliopsida; Fagales; Betulaceae.
AGAGAAUAGGCGCAACUGGUGUUGCUGCUCGUACAUCUCUCGAGUCUUCGUUGUUCGUUCCCUUUGCUUCUUCGCUACAAAACAACCAAUUAACGAAAAAGUCACUCUGGAAUGCGCACGUUAGCACUGUCCCUCUCUCUCUCUCUCUCUCUCUCUCUCUCUCACACAAAACAGAAAACGGUUGGAGGAACUGCUCGCCUAGAUUUCCUAGUAGCUGACACUGACGCUUUGCACUUCAAUAGUUUUUACCCUCGGCGCACGUUAGCCUCCUCCUGGCCCCUUUUGCUUCUUCUUCUUCAGUUGGCUGUAGAAGAUCCUCUCCCAAAUUUUUGAUAGCUUUUCUAUGAGAGGACGUUAUGUUGAUGGGUACUCGAUGUUCAAACGCGGAGCAUCGAAGGACGACAUAAAUGCUUAUGAAAGAGAAGGAAGUACAGUUCAUUUGCUGAAUGGCAAAGACAUUGGAAACCCACCAUGGAGGCGCUCUCUGCCACAUGUACUUGUGGCAACUCUUUCUUCAUUCAUAUUUGGCUACCAUCUUGCAGUAAUCAAUGAGACCCUAGAAAGCAUCUCUUUAGACCUUGGCUUUAGUGGGAAUACCUUGGCUGAAGGUCUAGUGGUGAGUACAUGUUUAGGAGGCGCCUUUAUUGGAUCUCUAUUCAGUGGUUGGAUUGCAGAUGGGAUUGGGCGUCGAAGGGCAUUUCAACUUUGUGCUCUACCAAUGAUAAUUGGUGCAUCAAUGAGCGCAACAACCAAAAGUCUCUGGGGUAUGCUUCUAGGGAGGUUAUUUGUCGGAACCGGGAUGGGUCUUGGCCCACCUGUUGCAGCUCUCUAUGUGGCAGAGGUGUCACCGACUUUUGUAAGGGGUACUUUUGGGAGCUUCACUCAAAUUGCUACAUGUCUAGGACUUAUGGGAGCUCUUUUUAUAGGGUUCCCAGCGAAGGAAAUAGUUGGUUGGUGGCGGAUUUGUUUUUGGGUAUCUGCUGUUCCUGCUGCUGUACUUGCUCUUUCCAUGGAGUUCUGUGCAGAGAGUCCCCAUUGGCUUUUCAAGAGAGGAAGAGGUAUUGAAGCUGAAGCUGAAUUUGAGAAGCUUCUAGGAGGAUCACAUGUCAAAUCUGCCAUGGCAGAAUUGUCAAGGACAGAAAGAGGAGAUGAGGCAGAAACGGUAAAGCUCUCUGAGUUGUUCUAUGGCCGCUAUUUCAAAGUGGUGUUCAUUGGCUCUACCCUUUUUGCUUUACAACAGCUAUCUGGCAUAAAUGCUAUAUUCUAUUUCUCUUCUACUGUCUUUAAGAGCCUCGGUGUGCCUUCAGAUCUCGCAAACAUAUGUGUGGGAAUCGCAAAUUUGUUGGGGUCAUUAAUUGCAACAAUCUUGAUGGAUAAACUUGGAAGAAAGGUGCUUCUUCUUGGAAGUUUUUCAGGCAUGGUAGUAUCAAUGGGACUUCAAGUAAUUGCAGCAAGUUCUUUCACAUCAGGCUCUGUGGCAUUGUAUCUUUCAGUUGGUGGCAUGCUGCUAUUUGUCUUGAUGUUUGCUCUUGGCGCUGGUCCAGUCCCUGGUCUCCUCCUUUCAGAAAUACUUCCUGGCCGGAUUAGGGCUAAAGCAAUGGCAGUUUGUAUGGCUGUGCACUGGGUGGUAAAUUUCUUUGUUGGUCUAUUGUUUUUGCCCUUGCUGGAGCAACUAGGGGCAGUAGUACUGUAUACGAUCUUUGCUGCCUUUUGUUUGGUGGCUGCGUUUUUUGUGAAGAUCAAUGUUUUGGAAACAAAAGGAAAAUCACUCCAAGAAAUUGAAAUUGCACUUCUUCCAUCCGACUAGAGUAACUACCAACACACCAACUUUGAGAGGAUCCGUAGCAGAUUUUGGUGGACAAUACUAGUAAACUCCAGGGACGCACUGUGUCGGCCAAAGUUACCAAGGCUGCAAAGGCUUUCCUUGUACUGUGCAUGGAGAAUCACUAGCAGAGGAUUUUCACAGGCAAUACGCAAUUGGAAACCAAUUGAAGAGAUCUCAUUGGGUCAGCUGGAGUUUCAUUACCAUGCUCAUAUCAUAAUAGAAGUCGGCAUACAACGCAAGGAAUUGAAAGUCCUAUACUUGUGCAGUUUCGACUUCAAGUGUAUAUGUUGCAAGAAUUGAGAGAAGUGUGGUAAAAGAGUUUAUUUCUCAAUGAUUUACAGCAUUAGAGGCAUAACAUAUAUAUACAGAAUAUGCUAGACUUCAAGACAAUUCCACAGAAUGUGGGAUUGUCAAUUACACGUUAUUAUAGGAGAUUGGAUUAUGGGGUGUAAUGACGAAAACAGCAGGCAUAGUUUCCUUAGGGGAUACUUGACAAAUUAAGCAGAGAUCUUUCCUUGAGAGGUGCUGCAGGUCUUGCCUUUUUCAAUAUUGAAGA